Molecule: ribosomal RNA, 337 nt
Filed under: Lamproblatta sp. MNHN BL101
Lineage: Eukaryota; Metazoa; Arthropoda; Insecta; Blattodea; Lamproblattidae
Description: partial 12S ribosomal RNA
Source: RNAcentral
UAAGUAGUUAAAAUAUUUUCCUGAGUAGUAUUAGUUAUUUUCUUGAAACUCAAAGAAUUUGGCGGUAUUAUAUUCUUUUCAGAGGAAUCUGUCUCGUUAUUGAUAAUCCGCGUUGUACCUUUCUUGAUUUAUUUCUUGUAUAUCUCCGUUAUAAUGAAUAUCUUUUUAGGGUUAAUUUUCUUGAUUUUUAAUUUAAAAUUAUUUCAGGUCAAGGUGCAGUAUAAUUAAGUGUUGAUGGAUUACUUGUUUAUGGAUUAAUAGUUUAAAUUUUUUUAUGAAAAUGGAUUUGAUAGUAAUUGUUUGAAGAUUGUAAUGGUGAUAUAGUUCUAUAAUAUGU